RNAcentral lists this long non-coding RNA (345 nucleotides) under Gossypium raimondii (Peruvian cotton). RNAcentral's name for it is "long non-coding RNA (GRAI_LNC005336)". Lineage: Eukaryota; Viridiplantae; Streptophyta; Magnoliopsida; Malvales; Malvaceae. The record is from RNAcentral.
CCCCAUCAUAAAUUAAAACCCUUUUCCCAUGCUUUUUAGAUCUCGACAAAUCUUCUUUAACAAAAUUUCUAUUCACCACUUUCGAAUCUGGUGCCACUAGAGAUUGAAAUCUUGAACCCGUGAUUUCCUCCCCUUCUUCAGACCUUUCAAAUUUAUUAGGUUCACGAGAUUGGCACCUAGAUUUCCACUCCACCAACAUCCACGGGUUGUAUUCUCCAUUUUCGAUUGACAAUUCCACAGCAGCCAGUAUGGCGGCAACUAGCUGUAAUACUACCUCCGAUGCAGCAAAAAAUGAAGAUCUAUUUGGUUAAAUCUCCAUGUUAUGGCCAUACUGUCCAUACGAAA